This 2131-nucleotide long non-coding RNA is filed under the name Olea europaea subsp. europaea. Lineage: Eukaryota; Viridiplantae; Streptophyta; Magnoliopsida; Lamiales; Oleaceae. The record is from RNAcentral.
AAAUACUGGAUUUAGUGACCAUUGGAUAAAACCAUAUAUAUUUUGUAUAAUGAUCAAGAAAAAUAAGGUAAUAUCGUGAUCCAUCAAUUCCAGUAUAACUAGCAGGACCCCACACAUCCGUGUAAAUAAGUUCAAGUGGCUCAUGACUUUGAAGACUAGUGGCAUGGAAGGAUUGUUGAUGUGCUUUAUUAAUAGAACAUGAACUACAUAAUGAAGACAAGUUUUUGUUCGAUGAAAUAGGAAGAGAAAUUUUUUUGACAAGAUGAUGAACAAUUUUAGUAGAAGGAUGCCCAAGACACUUGUGUCAUCCAUCAAAAGAAGUUCGUUCAUGUACAUUAGCAACCUUUUUUGAUGUCAACGUUGAUUCCGGAAAGGUGUAGAUGCCAUUGUUACAUACUCCUCUUAGCAGGAUUGACCCCGUGAUCUUGUCCUUCACAAGAAAAUGAAAAGAGUGAAAUUCAACAAAGACAUUAUUUUAUUUGGUAAGUGAUGAACAGAAAUUAAAUUUUUGUAAAGAUUUGGAACACAAGGAGUAUCACGCAAUGUAAAGGUUCAGUGAGGAGAGUGCAAAGCCAAGGAACCAAUGUGUGGGACUGCCAAACAUGAACCAUCACCGAGAAUUACUUCGUCAGUUCCACCAUAUUCGGAGUGAAUAGAUAGAUUGGAAAGAUCACUCGUGAUAUUAUGAAAAGCGGCCGAAACAAGUAACCAAUUUUUAUGCUUUCCAGCAGAUGUUGUAGCACAAUUUAUGGAGACAUUCUGUAAAUGGAAUUGAGGACUUGGCAAUGUGGCCCAAUUGGUCACAAAUUUGACAUUGGGCUGGUAACGCCGAUUGUAAUUGUUGGGCCGACUAGAAUUGUUGUAGCGACGUCCAUCACCCUGGGCUCCAUUUGAGUUUCGACUUUUGCUAGAGCUUUAAGGCCCACGUUGAGGACUAUUUUGCUUGAAAGAACAUGGGUGACUCUCCCUUGUGCAGGCUGCUUCAUCAUCGUAUAAUUUGCAGAAACCACCAGAUUCUGUGUUGUAGCUUACAGAUGCCGUAAAUAUGCCUCGUGUCCAACCAAAAGGUCGUGCAAAUCCUCAAAGGCCAAUGAUGAUUCUCGGGCUCGAAUAAGAGCAGUAAUCUUCCAAAAAUCUGGACCUAAAUUGUUUAAUACAUAAAGGGUUAGGCCAUCAUCGGAAAUUGAAUGAUCAAUAAUGGCUAAUUCAUCGGCCAAGGCCUUCACAGCAUGGAGAUAUUUUGUGGUCGAUCGAUUUCCACGUUGGAUUAAGGUGAGUUCCUCCUUUAACUACAUAGCAUGAAUUCUUGAUCGGUUAGCAUACAGAGUUUUUAACUUUUUCCAAACUUCAUGAGAGGUCUUUGCCAUAGCAAUGAGUGGGGUGAUUGAAGGAGAUGUGGAUGCUAGAAUAGCACUCAGGAUAAAUUUAUCCCGUCGAACCCGGCGGGUCUUGCGCAGCUCAUUAGUGGAGGUACCAGCGGAAGAGGAGCACCGAAGGGUGCCUUCGACAUAGUCGAGUAAAUCAUAACCAAUAAGGAGUGUUUCAAAUUGAGCAUGCCAUUGGGGAAAGGUGGAGGGAGUUAAUUUUUCAUUGACUUGGGCAGUAAUAUUGAGGGCAAUCAGGGAUUUAUUUGCUCCAAAAGGAGGUUGGGUAUUGAGGUUAAAGUUUGAAGUUUGAUCAAAAGAGGAAGACAUGGUGGUGACUUGGAUCGAUGGCUCGUUGGAGAUCGAUGGCUCUGGUACCAUAUGAAAGAACAGAUUGUGAAGGAACACAUAUUCUGUGAUUUCAAUGAAGAAUUUCCCACACAUUUUAUUAAUAGAGAUUCCGUGUUAUAUACAAGGUGAUUGAGGAGCUGGUUUAGGAAAUACAUACAUGGUAAGGCUAAAUCUAUGCUGCUGUUACAGUGUAUAGAAUACAAAAAUAGAAGCUACUCUUAUUAUAAAAUUAAAUGGCAGAUUAUUGGACAUGAUUUCAGGCUAGACAUGCUUUGUUCAAGUUGGAGCGGGAUCCACGCAUGAUUCCCUUAUAUGCCUUAUAAUGACAUUCUUCAUCGUAACUUAAUCUCCUUUUCUUUUCUUUUUUUUUUCUUUCUUCCCUGAAACAACUUCUAUAUUCUUGUUUUUCGCCUUCU